CUACGGGGGGCAGCAGUGAGGAAUAUUGCACAAUGGGGGGAACCCUGACGCAGCAACGCCGCGUGGAGGAUGACGCAUUUCGGUGUGUAAACUCCUUUUAUAUGUCAAGAAAAUGACGGUAGCAUAUGAAUAAGCACCGGCUAACUCCGUGCCAGCAGCCGCGGUAAUACGGAGGGUGCAAGCGUUACUCGGAGUCACUGGGCGUAAAGGACGCGUAGGCGGGUUGGAAAGUCAGGUGUGAAAUCCUACAGCUUAACUGUAGAACUGCACUUGAAACUUCUAAUCUAGAGUAUGGGAGGGGGAGAUGGAAUUAGUGGUGUAGGGGUAAAAUCCGUAGAUAUCACUAGGAAUACCUAAAGCGAAGGCGAUCUCCCGGAACAUUACUGACGCUAAGGCGUGAAAGCGUGGGGAGCAAACAGGAUUGGAUACCCGCGUAGUC
This 439-nucleotide ribosomal RNA is filed under the name uncultured bacterium. RNAcentral's name for it is "partial 16S ribosomal RNA". It matches the Rfam family "Bacterial small subunit ribosomal RNA", at positions 339 to 795 of the family's 1533-position model. The record is from RNAcentral.